RNAcentral lists this transfer RNA (77 nucleotides) under Pseudomonas mosselii. Its description in RNAcentral is "tRNA-Leu". It matches the Rfam family "tRNA". Rfam says of the family: Transfer RNA (tRNA) molecules are approximately 80 nucleotides in length. Their secondary structure includes four short double-helical elements and three loops (D, anti-codon, and T loops). The record is from RNAcentral. Lineage: Bacteria; Pseudomonadati; Pseudomonadota; Gammaproteobacteria; Pseudomonadales; Pseudomonadaceae.
GCCCAGGUGGCGGAAUUGGUAGACGCGCUGGUUUCAGGUAUCAGUGCGUGGAAGUUCGAGUCUUCUCCUGGGCACCA